RNAcentral lists this ribosomal RNA (209 nucleotides) under uncultured Succinivibrionaceae bacterium. Its description in RNAcentral is "partial 16S ribosomal RNA". It matches the Rfam family "Bacterial small subunit ribosomal RNA", at positions 568 to 774 of the family's 1533-position model. Lineage: Bacteria; Pseudomonadati; Pseudomonadota; Gammaproteobacteria; Aeromonadales; Succinivibrionaceae. The record is from RNAcentral.
CAUGCAGGCGGUUAUACAAGUAGGAUGUGAAAGCCUGGGGGCUCAACCUCAGAACUGCAUUCUAAACUGUGUGACUAGAGUAUUGCAGGGGGGAGACGGAAUUUCAGGUGUAGCGGUGGAAUGCGUAGAUAUCUGAAAGAACACCAAAGGCGAAGGCAGUCUCCUGGGCAAAUACUGACGCUCAUAUGCGAAAGCGUGGGUAGCAAACA